RNAcentral lists this unclassified non-coding RNA (252 nucleotides) under Hevea brasiliensis (rubber tree). The record is from RNAcentral. Lineage: Eukaryota; Viridiplantae; Streptophyta; Magnoliopsida; Malpighiales; Euphorbiaceae.
UUCUGUUUCUCAAUUGUCUCACUUGAAUCAGUCUUUCCAAUUUCCCCGCAUAACUCUUUGUUUUGUUUUUCCUUUGCUAAUAUCUUAUCUCUUGGAAUUUCUUCAUCCUUCAUCUCUUGUUCUUGUUGGAUUCUUUUAGUUGCUUCUUCAACCAAGAUAUUGUCAACAACAGCUUGUUGAAAGCUCUCAACUGUUCCUUUUUCUGUGCUGAUCUGUUCUUCAGUUGUCUCACUUGCAUCAGUCUUUUCAAUU